UAAGGAGUUUGUAACGUUAAAAAAAAAAAAAAAAAACGACCGAGGGGCAAAAUGGACAUUUUACCCCUCAGCCCAUUAUAGGGGUCUUGAGCGUCCUCCUCAGAGUUCCUGCAAAAGAAGAAGAGUGAGAGAGAAGGACUGAGAGAAAGUUUGAGAGAGAAAACUGAUUUGCCGGAGUUUUCAUCGGAGAGUCGUCGACGGAAUCCAUUCCCUACCAAGACCUGUACUCUGGAGCCCUUCUUGGAGUGAAGUAAGAACUCGUGUGGAGAUUUCCUCCUCUUUCCUCAAGAUCAGAAAGGAAACCCGCAAGGUACGUGAGGCGUCGAGUCUAGAGAGGGCGCGUUGAUCGAUGUGGGUUGUCGCAGAGGAAGCGUGUCCCGGGGCGUCAGUCUAGUUUACUAAAUAGUACACUUUGUCUCUCCUGUUCCUUUCCUUGUUUUUACCUAGGCACAUAUGUCCUUUUAGUAAAGAAACGUUUUUCUUACAAAUAAAUGAAAUUCUAUUGUUGUAAA
This is a long non-coding RNA of Cucurbita moschata (crookneck pumpkin), 512 nucleotides long. RefSeq lists it as uncharacterized. The record is from RefSeq and is a predicted model, not a curated record. The transcript is spliced from 2 exons. Lineage: Eukaryota; Viridiplantae; Streptophyta; Magnoliopsida; Cucurbitales; Cucurbitaceae.